UAGAGUUUGAUCAUGGCUCAGGAUGAACGCUAGCGGCAGGCCUAACACAUGCAAGUCGAGGGGUAGUAAGUGCUUGCACUUAUGAGACCGGCGCACGGGUGCGUAACGCGUAUGCAAUCUACCUUGUACAGGGGGAUAGCCCAGAGAAAUUUGGAUUAAUACCUCAUAGUAUCUUUUGAAGGCAUCUUCAAAUUAUUAAAGUUCCAACGGUACAAGAUGAGCAUGCGUCCCAUUAGUUAGUUGGUGUGGUAACGGCACACCAAGACGAUGAUGGGUAGGGGUCCUGAGAGGGAGAUCCCCCACACUGGUACUGAGACACGGACCAGACUCCUACGGGAGGCAGCAGUGAGGAAUAUUGGGCAAUGGAGGCAACUCUGACCCAGCCAUGCCGCGUGCAGGAAGACGGCCCUAUGGGUUGUAAACUGCUUUUGUACGGGAAGAAACACUCCUACGUGUAGGGGCUUGACGGUACCGUAAGAAUAAGGAUCGGCUAACUCCGUGCCAGCAGCCGCGGUAAUACGGAGGAUCCAAGCGUUAUCCGGAAUCAUUGGGUUUAAAGGGUCCGUAGGCGGCCUUAUAAGUCAGUGGUGAAAUCUCCUAGCUCAACUAGGAAACUGCCAUUGAUACUGUAGGGCUUGAAUUUUUGUGAAGUAACUAGAAUAUGUAGUGUAGCGGUGAAAUGCUUAGAUAUUACAUGGAAUACCAAUUGCGAAAGCAGGUUACUAACAAACGAUUGACGCUGAUGGACGAAAGCGUGGGGAGCGAACAGGAUUAGAUACCCUGAUAGUCCACGCCGUAAACGAUGGAUACUAGCUGUUCGGAUUUCGGUCUGAGUGGCUAAGCGAAAGUGAUAAGUAUCCCACCUGGGGGAGUACGCACGCAAGUGUGAAACUCAAAGGAAAUUGACGGGGCCCGCACAAGCGGUGGAGCAUGGUGGUUUAAUUCGAUGAAUACGCCGAGGAACCUACCCAGGGCUUAAUGGGGAGACGACAGUUUAGAACUAGACCUUUCUUCCGACGUCUUCAAGGUGCUUGACAUGAUUGUCGUCAGCCUCAGGCCGUGAAGGUUCAAGUUAGUCUAAUAGCGAGCCAUCCGUUUCGGUAGUGCAAGCGAGUCUAUGUCGGACCUCUUAAC
This 1134-nucleotide ribosomal RNA is filed under the name uncultured Flavobacterium sp. RNAcentral's name for it is "bacterial SSU rRNA". It matches the Rfam family "Bacterial small subunit ribosomal RNA", at positions 1 to 1144 of the family's 1533-position model. Lineage: Bacteria; Pseudomonadati; Bacteroidota; Flavobacteriia; Flavobacteriales; Flavobacteriaceae. The record is from RNAcentral.